ACUCAAAUGAAUUGACGGGGGCCCGCACAAGCGGUGGAGCAUGUGGUUUAAUUCGAUGCAACGCGAAGAACCUUACCUACCCUUGACAUACAGUGAAUUUUCCAGAGAUGGAGAAGUGCCUUCGGGAACACUGAUACAGGUGCUGCAUGGCUGUCGUCAGCUCGUGUCGUGAGAUGUUGGGUUAAGUCCCGUAACGAGCGCAACCCUUAUUCUUAGUUACCAGCGCGUAAAGGCGGGGACUCUAAGGAGACUGCCGGUGACAAACCGGAGGAAGGCGGGGACGACGUCAAGUCAUCAUGGCCCUUACGGGUAGGGCUACACACGUGCUACAAUGGCCGGUACAGAGGGGAGCGAGAGCGAGAGUUUAAGCGAAUCUUAAAAAGCCGGUCGUAGUCCGGAUUGAAGUCUGCAACUCGACUUCAUGAAGUCGGAAUCGCUAGUAAUCGCGAAUCAGCAUGUCGCGGUGAAUACGUUCCCGGGCCUUGUACACACCGCCCGU
RNAcentral lists this ribosomal RNA (499 nucleotides) under uncultured bacterium. Its description in RNAcentral is "partial 16S ribosomal RNA". It matches the Rfam family "Bacterial small subunit ribosomal RNA", at positions 899 to 1397 of the family's 1533-position model. The record is from RNAcentral.